Molecule: long non-coding RNA, 508 nt
Organism: Nicotiana attenuata
Lineage: Eukaryota; Viridiplantae; Streptophyta; Magnoliopsida; Solanales; Solanaceae
Exons: 3
Source: RefSeq, a predicted model, not a curated record
UCUUUUUACGUCUUUGAAGUUUGAACCUUUCUUUCUUCUAUCUCUUUUUCAGUUAGUAGAUCCGAAUUCCGAAGCUCAAAUUAUGGCAACUAUCAUUCUAUCAAUCCCUUAAGGCCCGUCAGAUCUUCGACAGCCUUGGUAAUCCUACGGUUGAGGUUGAUGUUCAUUUGUCAAAUGGUAUGUGGGCUAGAGCUGCUGCUGUUCCUAGUGGUGCAUCACUGAAAAAAAAAACAUUAUUCGCUCCAUCGUCCAUCCUAGAAAAAGGCAAAUAAUCGGUUGUGGAAUAUGAGGGUCAACACAUCUGCUCUCGUACGAAAUUAGAUAUUACAGCAAUAACUAUUAUUGUUAUGCCUAAUUUCAAAUAAGUUAGAGUUAACUAAGGCAACCGGAGGCAACGGUGAAUGCGAGCGAGGAUUGGAUAUUGAUGCCGCUUCAACGAGACGACAUUAGGGUUGUUCUUGAACAAAGACAACGGAGUUGGGGGCUGAGCAACUUGAAUUUUUUGUUA